This 471-nucleotide ribosomal RNA is filed under the name uncultured bacterium. RNAcentral's name for it is "partial 16S ribosomal RNA". It matches the Rfam family "Bacterial small subunit ribosomal RNA", at positions 28 to 507 of the family's 1533-position model. The record is from RNAcentral.
GACGAACGCUGGCGGCGUGCUUAACACAUGCAAGUCGAACGGAAAGGCCCUGCUUGCAGGGUGCUCGAGUGGCGAACGGGUGAGUAACACGUGGGUGAUCUGCCCCUUACUUUGGGAUAAGCCUGGGAAACUGGGUCUAAUACUGGAUAGGACCAUGCUGUAGGUGGUGUGGUGGAAAGAUUUUUUCGGUAAGGGAUGAGCUCGCGGCCUAUCAGCUUGUUGGUGGGGUAAUGGCCUACCAAGGCGUCGACGGGUAGCCGGCCUGAGAGGGUGGACGGCAACAUUGGGACUGAGAUACGGCCCAGACUCCUACGGGAGGCAGCAGUGGGGAAUAUUGCACAAUGGGCGCAAGCCUGAUGCAGCGACGCCGCGUGGGGGAUGACGGCCUUCGGGUUGUAAACUCCUUUCAGCCAUGACGAAGCCUCUUUUGGGGUGACGGUAGUGGUAGAAGAAGCACCGGCUAACUACGUG